RNAcentral lists this ribosomal RNA (954 nucleotides) under Triticum aestivum (bread wheat). Its description in RNAcentral is "partial small subunit ribosomal RNA". The record is from RNAcentral. Lineage: Eukaryota; Viridiplantae; Streptophyta; Magnoliopsida; Poales; Poaceae.
AUGGAGGCAGUCGCAAUGUCGCCGUCCUCCGUCUCGUCCCACAACCUCGACGCCGCCUCCACCAGCGACGACAUGCCGUCCUCGCAAGAGGGCCUCCUCUUCUCGGACAGCCUCAAGGACUUGAGGAAUCUGCGGUCGCAGCUAUACUCAGCGGCAGAAUAUUUUGAAGUAUUCUACACAAACAACUCGCACAGAUCUACGGUGGUGACGAGUUUAAAAGACUACGCAGUUGAGGCACUCGUUAGCACGGUUGACCAUCUUGGCUUUGUGUCGUACAAGGUGGAUAAUCUCGUCAAUGAAAAGGCUGACGAGGUUAAUGAAACAGAAUUUCGAGUAUCGUCGGUUGAACAGAGGGUAAAGAUUUGCCGGCAGGCAAUUGACCAGGAGGGAAGAUCUCAACAGUCUCUUCUUAUCAGGGCGCCGCAGUACCACAGGCGUUACAUAUUACCAGGCGUAGAUAUAGUGGAAUCCGCUAUCCAUCCAGUUUCAGAGCCCACACGGUACAGCAGGCAACAUACGGGUCGCAAAAUGCGCAAGUCUCAGUCUACCAUGUCCACUCCAGUUAGUAGGCAGACAACGAUGAGGAGUGUCCGUUCACGGUCUCCAGCAGUUCGUGAAACACAUCAUCGAUCACGAUCCAUGUCGCCGUCUCGAAAAGCGCGAGCUAAAUCACCAUCACCCCAAGUCGUGAACUUGAAUCCGAAAGAAACAAGAGCAGGUUCGCCAAUACCAACUAUUCCCAUUCCCCUGGCGCGAUCUGCUACAGUUGCAAGAAGACCACCUCUGGAUCCAAAGCAUUUUAGACAAACCUCGAUGCAGGUGCAGUCCGACUAUGAACACCAGAAAGAGCGGGAGAAAAGAUCAAGCAAAGGCAGGGGCUUCCUCAAGUCGCUGCUCACAAGACGCCGGUGGAGGAAUGACGAGUCGCUCUACAAUUACUUGGACGAGUACUGA